CUUCUGCCAUGUGAGGACACACAGAAGUCACCAUCUAUAAGAAACAGGCUCCCACCAGACACUGAGUCUGCUGGAGCCUUGAUCUUGAAUUUCCCAACCUCCAGAACUGUGGCCACCAGACUUUCUCUGCUUGUAUCCUCCCAGGACCACAGAACUCAUCGCAUCCCAAGGCAGCCUAUUCCAUCAUGGAUGAGCUCAAAGUGUUUGAAAGUUCUGCUUUAUCAAAACUCUUGAUGGCCUGCUUCCCAUCCUCCAUCCUGGAAGACUGAUCUGAAACCCCAGGAGGAGGUCCUCUGAGCCCUGAGGCAGAGAUCUCUCACCUGGAAGAUGGGUCUAAUGACUGCGCCCCACACACACCAGAGAGGACUGCAGAUAGUGCGGGAUGAGAGGAAGAUCUCUGGCCCUGGAGACAGCAUCAUCAAGCGAAAACGUAUGAGGAAGAAAAUAGCAGAUGAGAAGAAUCAACCAAAUUCCGGAAGCUGGAAGGCAGAUGCAAGAAGGCCCUUGAAUGAUGCCAGCACCUUGAUAUUGGACUUUCCAGCCUCCAGAACCAUGAGCCAAUACAUUUCUGUUCCAUAAAAAUUACCCAGUUCCAGGUAUUCUGCUAUAGCAGCACAAAAUGGACUAAAACAAUGUUGGCACAAGACUCAGUGCUGGGCCUGGCAUGCAACAGGUCCUUGGAGUGGCGUGCUGUGUGGAUAAUGAAUAUUGGGGAAGGCAUCUCUCUCCAGCCCCUCUCAAGCUUUCUGUAGUCACUGGUCCACUCUGUAUUGCUAUGAAGAAGCUCAAGACCAGCCUGUAUCACUCGGGGUCCUGGCAGGAACCAGGUGCCACACUCAAACUGAGUAAUUGAAGAGGGUUUAAUAUGGGAGUUAUUUACAUAGGUGUGGGCUGGUGUAGCUGCCCAUAUGCCCUCAAAAUCACCUCUACAUGGCAAUAGCUACUUACUGCUAACAGAGUCUCUCUCUCAUUGCUGCAAAUAUUUUCUAGCCAUGCAAGAAACUCAGCCGGUCAUGUUGAACAAACUAAGAGUGCCAGGAAGUUAAUGUCCUGGAAGCAUUGCCAGAGGGGAGGGGGCAGUUAGAUUCCCCAGCUUCCUCGCUCCUCUGCUGGGUUAAGCCUGCAACAUAUUCAUCAUCUCCCAGAGUGCUGCCCAGGGAUAGAGCUCCAGGUGCUCAGUGUGGUGACCUGCUCAUGUCAGCUUCUUCCCCUUUCCUGUCUUGUUUCGCACCCACAUCCUUCCCAUGUUUCCUCUUCCCAAAUAAACUACUUGCAUUGAAAUCUUUGUCUCAGGCUCUGCUUCUGGGGAAACCUGAACCUAGCGAGGAGAGUUUAAGGAAAGCAACAACGGGUGGCGUGGGACUCUGGUAACAAAGGGAACCACUGCCUUUCAAGAAAACGGCAGGAGGCCAGGCACGGUAGCUCAUGCCUGUAACGCCAACACUUUGGGAGGCCAAGGUGGGUGGAUUAUUUGAGGUCAGGAGUUCAAGACCAGCCUGGCCAACAUGGUAAAACCAAGUUUCUACUAAAAAUACAAAAAUUAGCCGGGC
RNAcentral lists this long non-coding RNA (1550 nucleotides) under Homo sapiens (human). RNAcentral describes it as "HSALNT0401223". Lineage: Eukaryota; Metazoa; Chordata; Mammalia; Primates; Hominidae. The record is from RNAcentral.